UGGUAAUACCGGAUGCUCCGCUCCAUCGCAUGGUGGGGUGGGAAAUGCUUUUGCGGCAUGGGAUGGGGUCGCGUCCUAUCAGCUUGUUGGCGGGGUGAUGGCCCACCAAGGCGUUGACGGGUAGCCGGCCUGAGAGGGUGACCGGCCACAUUGGGACUGAGAUACGGCCCAGACUCCUACGGGAGGCAGCAGUGGGGAAUAUUGCACAAUGGGCGCAAGCCUGAUGCAGCGACGCCGCGUGCGGGAUGGAGGCCUUCGGGUUGUAAACCGCUUUUGUUCAAGGGCAAGGCACGGUUUCGGCCGUGUUGAGUGGAUUGUUCGAAUAAGCACCGGCUAACUACGUGCCAGCAGCCGCGGUAAUACGUAGGGUGCGAGCGUUAUCCGGAUUUAUUGGGCGUAAAGGGCUCGUAGGCGGUUCGUCGCGUCCGGUGUGAAAGUCCAUCGCCUAACGGUGGAUCUGCGCCGGGUACGGGCGGGCUGGAGUGCGGUAGGGGAGACUGGAAUUCCCGGUGUAACGGUGGAAUGUGUAGAUAUCGGAAAAAAACACC
This 548-nucleotide ribosomal RNA is filed under the name Bifidobacterium animalis subsp. lactis. Its description in RNAcentral is "bacterial SSU rRNA". It matches the Rfam family "Bacterial small subunit ribosomal RNA", at positions 161 to 710 of the family's 1533-position model. The record is from RNAcentral. Lineage: Bacteria; Bacillati; Actinomycetota; Actinomycetes; Bifidobacteriales; Bifidobacteriaceae.